Molecule: ribosomal RNA, 1347 nt
Filed under: uncultured bacterium
Lineage: Bacteria
Description: bacterial SSU rRNA
Rfam family: Bacterial small subunit ribosomal RNA
Source: RNAcentral
GACGAACGCUGGCGGCGUGCUUAACACAUGCAAGUCGAACGAUGAAGCCUAGCUUGCUAGGUGGAUUAGUGGCGAACGGGUGAGUAAUACGUGAGUAACCUACCUUUAACUCUGGGAUAAGCCCGGGAAACUGGGUCUAAUACCGGAUACGACCAAUCUCCGCAUGGGGUGUUGGUGGAAAGCGUUAUGUAGUGGUUAUAGAUGGGCUCACGGCCUAUCAGCUUGUUGGUGAGGUAACGGCUCACCAAGGCGACGACGGGUAGCCGGCCUGAGAGGGUGACCGGCCACACUGGGACUGAGACACGGCCCAGACUCCUACGGGAGGCAGCAGUGGGGAAUAUUGCACAAUGGGCGCAAGCCUGAUGCAGCGACGCCGCGUGAGGGAUGACGGCCUUCGGGUUGUAAACCUCUGUUAGCAGGGAAGAAGAGAGAUUGACGGUACCUGCAGAGAAAGCGCCGGCUAACUACGUGCCAGCAGCCGCGGUAAUACGUAGGGCGCGAGCGUUGUCCGGAAUUAUUGGGCGUAAAGAGCUUGUAGGCGGUUUGUCGCGUCUGCUGUGAAAGGCCGGGGCUUAACUCCGUGUAUUGCAGUGGGUACGGGCAGACUAGAGUGCAGUAGGGGAGACUGGAAUUCCUGGUGUAGCGGUGGAAUGCGCAGAUAUCAGGAGGAACACCGAUGGCGAAGGCAGGUCUCUGGGCUGUAACUGACGCUGAGAAGCGAAAGCAUGGGGAGCGAACAGGAUUAGAUACCCUGGUAGUCCAUGCCGUAAACGUUGGGCACUAGGUGUGGGGGACAUUCCACGUUUUCCGCGCCGUAGCUAACGCAUUAAGUGCCCCGCCUGGGGAGUACGGCCGCAAGGCUAAAACUCAAAGAAAUUGACGGGGGCCCGCACAAGCGGCGGAGCAUGCGGAUUAAUUCGAUGCAACGCGAAGAACCUUACCAAGGCUUGACAUAUACUGGACCGCAUCAGAGAUGGUGUUUCCCUUCGGGGCUGGUAUACAGGUGGUGCAUGGUUGUCGUCAGCUCGUGUCGUGAGAUGUUGGGUUAAGUCCCGCAACGAGCGCACCCUCGUUCUAUGUUGCCAGCACGUUAUGGUGGGGACUCAUAGGAGACUGCCGGGGUCAACUCGGAGGAAGGUGGGGAUGACGUCAAAUCAUCAUGUCCCUUAUGUCUUGGGCUUCACGCAUGCUACAAUGGCCGGUACAGAGGGUUGCGAUACUGUGAGGUGGAGCUAAUCCCUAAAAGCCGGUCUCAGUUCGGAUUGGGGUCUGCAACUCGACCCCAUGAAGUCGGAGUCGCUAGUAAUCGCAGAUCAGCAACGCUGCGGUGAAUACGUUCCCGGGCCU